UAAGCGGAGGAAAAGAAACUAACAAGGAUUCCCCUAGUAACGGCGAGUGAAGCGGGAAGAGCUCAAAUUUGAAAUCUGGCACUUUCAGUGUCCGAGUUGUAAUCUCGAGAAGUGUUUUCCGCGCUGGACCGCAUAUAAGUCUAUUGGAAUAUAGCGUCAUAGUGGUGAGAACCCCGUAAUUGAUGCGGACGCCCAGUGCUUUGUGAUACACUUUCGAAGAGUCGAGUUGUUUGGGAAUGCAGCUCAAAUUGGGUGGUAAAUUCCAUCUAAAGCUAAAUAUUGGCGAGAGACCGAUAGCGAACAAGUACCGUGAGGGAAAGAUGAAAAGCACUUUGGAAAGAGAGUUAACAGUACGUGAAAUUGUUGGAAGGGAAACGCUUGAAGUCAGACUUGCUGUUUGGAAUUCAGCCGCAAGGUGUACUUUUCAGAUAUGCAGGCCAGCAUCAGUUUUUGGGGGUGAAAAAGGGUAUUGAGAAGGUAGCAGUUUCGGCUGUGUUAUAGCUCUUUGCUGGAUUCAUCCUUGGGGACUGAGGAACGCAGCUCACUUUUUGCACGAUCUUCGGAUUGUUCUGAGCUUAGGAUGCUGGUGGAAUGGCUUUAAACGACCCGUCUUGAAACACG
This 621-nucleotide ribosomal RNA is filed under the name Slooffia pilatii. RNAcentral's name for it is "eukaryotic LSU rRNA". It matches the Rfam family "Eukaryotic large subunit ribosomal RNA", at positions 47 to 663 of the family's 3401-position model. The record is from RNAcentral. Lineage: Eukaryota; Fungi; Basidiomycota; Microbotryomycetes; Chrysozymaceae.